Non-coding RNA from Odocoileus virginianus texanus, 1358 nucleotides. The record is from RefSeq and is a predicted model, not a curated record. Lineage: Eukaryota; Metazoa; Chordata; Mammalia; Artiodactyla; Cervidae.
UUUUCAGAAUGGCCAAAAAAAAAAAAAAAAGAAGUCUGGAGAGGCAGUUGCGCGGGUCGCGGUGCUGGGCGGUCUGCAGACACUGGCAAAUCGGGCCCAGGAUGUAGAGUUGGCGGUGCCUGACGGCACAUCUGACGCGGAGCUGGGUGGGGUAGAGAGUAGGGGGCGGUAGUCAGGGGUGGUGGGAGAAGGAGGAGGCGGCGGUGGUGAGUGAAUCUUUUAUAAAUGGCACCAAAGCAGGACCCGAAGCCUAAAUUCCAGGAGGGUGAGAGAGUGCUGUGCUUUCAUGGGCCUCUUCUGUAUGAAGCAAAGUGUGUAAAAGUUGUCAUAAAGGAUAAACAGGUCAAAUACUUCAUCCAUUACAGUGGUUGGAAUAAAAACUGGGAUGAAUGGGUUCCAGAAAGCAGAGUACUCAAGUAUGUGGAUACCAAUUUACAAAAACAGAGAGAACUUCAAAAAGCCAAUCAGGAGCAGUAUACAGAGGGGAAGAUGCGAGGGGCUGCCCCUGGAAAGAAGACUGCUGGGCUACAACAAAAAAAAAACUGAAGUGAAAACGAAAAAGAACAAACAAAAGACACCUGGAAAUGGAGAUGGUGGCAGCACUAGUGAAACACCUCAGCCUCCUCGCAAGAAAAGGGCUCGAGUAGAUCCUACUGUUGAAAAUGAGGAAAUAUUUAUGAGCAGAGUUGAAGUUAAAAUCAAGAUUCCUGAAGAACUGAAGCCAUGGCUUGUUGAUGACUGGGACUUAAUUACCCGGAAAAACAGCUCUUCUAUCUUCCCGCCAAGAAGAACGUGGAUUCCACCCUAGAGGAUUAUACAAAUUACAAGAAAUCUCGAGGAGACACAGAUAAUAAGGAGUAUGCAGUCAAUGAGGUUGUGGCCGGGAUAAAGGAAUACUUCAAUGUGAUGUUGGGCACUCAACUGCUCUACAAAUUUGAGAGGCCGCAGUACGCUGAGAUCCUUGCAGACCACCCUGAUGCACCCAUGUCCCAGGUGUACAGGGCGCCACAUCUCCUGAGACUGUUUGUACGAAUUGGAGCAAUGUUGGCCUAUACACCUCUGGAUGAGAAGAGCCUUGCUUUAUUACUGAAUUAUCUUCACAAUUUCCUAAAAUACUUGGCAAAGAACUCUGCAACUUUGUUUAGUGCCAGUGAUUAUGAAGUGGCUCCCCCUGAGUGCCAUCGGAAAGCCGUGUGAGGCGCAUGCACCCACCUAUGUUUGAUCUCUGUAAACCCCUUUUUGUUUCUUAGUCCUUCUCUUGUACAAACAAUGUACUUUGGAAAUGUUCGUGUAUAACAAAAUUGAUGUUUGUUUUCUGUUUGAUUUUAAACAGAGAAAAUAAAAGGAGUUACAGCUCC